Non-coding RNA from Physcomitrium patens, 984 nucleotides. Lineage: Eukaryota; Viridiplantae; Streptophyta; Bryopsida; Funariales; Funariaceae. The record is from RefSeq and is a predicted model, not a curated record.
GGCUGCUUGGCUGUGCCUGGCUUGGCUGGGCUGGGAAUGGGCUGGGCGGAGUGUACCAAGAGCGGGAUCGGUGCCCAUAGUGGACAACGACGAUGCAUGCGGGGAAAUCGUAUGCAUCGCCGCCUCUGGUGUCUGUUCACGCAUUCCUUCCCCUUUUGCAGCUUGGGGGGGGGGGGGUGUGUGUGCUCACAACAUAUCUCCGCCUCCCAGACUCAGAGCAUUCUUCUUCAUUCUUCUGCAUUCUUCUUCUCGAGUGAUGAGUGAAUGGGAGAGCCGGUGGUGGUCGCUACGAGUUGCAGGUGGGUAGAGAGCACUAUACGACGGUAUCGAGCUGUUGCGUCCGGCUGGCUGGCUGGCUGGACGUCGUCGUGUGUGGUCAUGUGGCAAAGCACUGAGGCGAAUGGUCGCAGUGGGUUGCUGGAUGGUUCGGAGCUAGGCCGGGGAAAGAUCCAUCGCGGUUCCUCACCAUGAACGCUUGAUGAUCCUGAAGCUGGUGCCGCUGGGAGUGGGGAAUGGUUGUGGUUGGGCUCGGAGAGUUAAUAUUCCAUGAGCGUGGAUUUGUCGUUGUGGUAGCGGUAGUGCGGGGGACAGCGGCUUUGGAGGAAGCGCAGGAGAAUCAUCAGGUAAAUGUGGCGACGGCAGUGACGGUGUAGGAGGAGGAGGAGAAGAAGAAGCUGCUUUGGGAGCGGGGUUGUUGAGAUGUCGACGUCAUGAGUGUUACAGGGAAGCGAUCCACGAAAGGGAGCGCCAGAUCGAAGUUAGUCGAUAUUAGGACUCAGUAGUGGUCGAGCAGACACUGAUCUGGAUGUAUUUCCCAGUUAAAUUAGGGAACGCAUGUCAUGGUCAAUAGCUUGUCUUGUGUUUGAGGUCAGUACAGGACGAAGCAGCUGAUUGCGGAAGAUGGUUGUAUUUAUAUAUUGGGUUUGAUUUCAAAUCUGGAAUAAAAUCUGUUAUUCAUCAGGAUGACAGUAUCAUCUCUAGUUA